Long non-coding RNA from Vigna unguiculata (cowpea), 394 nucleotides. The record is from RefSeq and is a predicted model, not a curated record. Lineage: Eukaryota; Viridiplantae; Streptophyta; Magnoliopsida; Fabales; Fabaceae.
AUAGAUUGUGUUCUAAUAUAGGUCACUGCAUUAAAGUCACAAUUGGAUGAACAAAAUAAACGAAAUGAAGAACGUGACAAAAGACUUGAUGCAAUCAUGAACUUCUUUUCUCAAAAUUAUCAAGGUCAAUUACCUCCUGAGUUGACUAUGUUCAAUCCUGCACCGGUUUCUGAUCAAGGAAGUGUGCCAACUAAUACAACAAGUUCUGGACAUGAGGAAAAUCAUAUGUGAUAGUUGAAGAAUAUAAUAUAAUGUGGAAGUUAAUUGAAUCAUUUUAUGUUUUGAGAACUAUUGUAGUACUUCAUGAUAGUUUUUGCUGACUAAUAUUGUACUUGAAUUUGAAUUUGAAUUCGUAUAUUUGUUAUACUUUGAUAUACAUUUAGUCAUCUAUAAA